AUACGGAGGGUGCAAGCGUUAUUCGGAAUCACUGGGCGUAAAGGACGCGUAGGCGGGUUGGCAAGUCAGAUGUGAAAUCCUACAGCUUAACUGUAGAACUGCAUUUGAAACUGCUAACCUACAGUAUGGGAGGGGGAGAUGGAAUUAGUGGUGUAGGGGUAAAAUCCGUAGAUAUCACUAGGAAUACCGAAAGCGAAGGCGAUCUCCUGGAACAUAACUGACGCUAAGGCGUGAAAGCGUGGGGAGCAAACAGGAUUAGAUACCCUAGUUAGUCC
Molecule: ribosomal RNA, 275 nt
Filed under: uncultured bacterium
Lineage: Bacteria
Description: partial 16S ribosomal RNA
Rfam family: Bacterial small subunit ribosomal RNA
Source: RNAcentral